UAUAAUUAUAAAAUUAAUUGAAAUUAAGACUAAUGUCUGAAAAAGCCUUUCCAUAAAAUAGUGAAGAGCUCUCAACUCUCACUAUCGUUAUCUUAUCAACAUCUACUUUAAACCCUACUUUCCCACUUCAUCUCCUACAUACAUUUCAAGAUAUGGGCAAGUAAAUUUUCUUUCUCUUUGCCGAUAAAAAGAUUGUGUGCAACUUUGGGCGAGAUAGUGUGUUUUACCUGUAAACUAAAGCUAAAACCAUUUAUUUCGAAGGAGGGAAAAGGAAACCUUUAAACAUGUUGCUUGGGUUAAAAAGAAAGGAAAAGAGAAACAUAAAGCUUUUGAAAAGAGAAACAUAUAUCUCAAUUUUUUCGUGCAUUGAAUUGGAUAGAAAGUCCUCUUGUCUUUGGCUCUUUGCUAACCUUGACUACCACAGUGUAUUAAUGGUUUCAACCCUAGCUGGUUUAGUUUUGAUGGUAUCUCUGGGACCCAACUGACAUUACAAAUCCUCAUGAUUAAAGAUGUUUUUGUUAUGCUCUCAUGAGCAAGGGUCUUUGUAGGCCUUGGAUUUUUUAGAUCAGCCCCAAUACAUAUACAAUUAAAUAAUGACAUAUCACUCUCACGUUAAUCGUUUUUUUACUGUCACAAAGUAAUAAAUAAAAAUGAAUGUAACUUUUCCUCUUUGUUACUGAAAAAAACCGCCACAAAAGUGGAUGUCAAAAUGGUAUACAACUACUAUUUGGUUGUACAUGUAUCUUUUUCAUUUUUAGAUUUAUUGACAUGAAUUACCAACAAGCUCACACACACACUCAUCACACACAAAAAGCAACUAACUAUAAAGAGCAUUUGCAUGCACACCACUUAAAUAAUAAGAAAUAAAACCCUUAAAUAUUGCAGGCUUUGAAAUAAAAAUAAAUUAUAAAAAUGCUCAAUUAAAUCUUCUCCUUUAUAAACUACAUUGAAUGAAUUUUUUGUGAGAACCAAUAGUAUUCAUCAACAGAUAGCCAGAGACUAAUCCAUUUUAAGGUGUAGAAGUUAUGAGUGCAUGCAGUCCCACACCAAAUAAUGAUGGGGAAUAUACAAUGUACUGAAAAUGGCUCAAACCUCAUCAAUUGCUAGUUAGAACUCCAAAGCACAUGAUUGAGCAAGGAGGAGGUACUUCACUAAAGCACAUGAUUGAACAAAGCAUAUGAAGUAACAUAAAGCUUAGACUAAAGUGAAUUUAAAGAAUCUUGUUAAAAGCUAUAUAAUGGAGUGUAGUAGCAGACACUAAUUAAACUGAGGCUACUUUUUUGCCAAUGAAUGUUGCUGUUAAACGUAACCAGGAGGUCAAUGAGGAUUGAGGAAACCCAUGAAAUGUAUCAUAAGCUCGUAAAGUUUUGGAAUCCUAUGUCAAUUAAUACUUAAAAAAUUAUUGAUAAGCCUGACUUUGAUUAAGCAAAGUGAUUGAACCUUCUCCAUUUGAUAUUGUUUAUAGUUAACAAUACAGAUAAGCAUUUCUGGUUCCUCCAAUCAAAGUUCCUAUAUGCCUUUCUCUAAGUGUCUUAAAAUUGAAUCCUUUUUCACAGGGCAAAAGAAACUUUGAAGUUAUUUCUGAUGGAUCUGUUAGGCAAUUAGAUCAAUAACUUGUAUUUGUAUUUUGAAUAAGAUGAUUAAAAACAAUUAACAUUUGUUGUGUUAACAUGCAUGUUCAAUAUAUGCCAUGGUUACUCUCAUCCUUUUGCUGCUUCAUCAAUUGUAAGGCAAUAUUAGUAAGAGAAUCGAAGGGACUGAGUACUCUCCCGAAAUACUUGGAUUAAAGACAGGAUUGUAACCAAUGUGCUAAAUUGAGUAUGUUUCUGAUCAUUUCGAAUUUCUCCUGACCCUGAGGCAAAACUUGAUUUCUAGGUGAAACCGGUGACAUCACAGGGUUUGAAUACACCAUCAGAGAUGUCCCUAGACCAGCCGUAAGUUCAAAUGUCAUUCCAUAUGGAGGAUUUUGAAUAAUCUUUGAUUCCAUUUCAGGCUGUGAUAAACUUGACACUACUUGGCUCUUCACAUUGCAGCCAAUAUACUCUUUCAUGAGCAGACAAAGCAUAUUGAGAUAGAUUGUCAUAUUAUUGCAUGCAGGGGUGGGGGUUCUUAGGUGACAUGACAUACAUACAGAACUUGGCUAGUUAGGUAUAGUUGGCAAUUCUGUAACACUUAUGGUUGUAGAAGCAGAUAGUAUAGAACAAUAUAUAUAUUUGUACAUAUAUAUACAGUUCAUAAUACCCUUUGCUGAUCA
Molecule: long non-coding RNA, 2254 nt
Organism: Lotus japonicus
Lineage: Eukaryota; Viridiplantae; Streptophyta; Magnoliopsida; Fabales; Fabaceae
Exons: 2
Source: RefSeq, a predicted model, not a curated record